UGGGAAAACUGCAGAUUCUGGAGGACCCCCCCCAAGCAACGUGAGAGCUCCUGUGUUAAGGAGGAUCACAAGACUGUGACUCAGAACCAGAAUGAAGCCGACGAGGAGAGGGGUGGGGGGAUCCCACACUGCUGCCAGCUACAGAGGGCUCAGCACCUGGGGACGGGCCCAGGGCACGGAGGACCAACCCCUGAGCCGCAGGAGCGUUGGCAGGUUUUGCUGUGAGGCCAUCAUUAUCUCGAGGGACGCCUUCCCCAGGAAGAAGCUGAGCAUGAAGACUCCCCCAGUUGCUUCCUGUGAAUCCAAGCCAGUGAGGGAACAACCUGCACUGAUCACUUCCGACAGAAGCAACCACAGAUGCAAGACAAGAAAAAGGAAGACGAGCAACUUUCUGCUCAGGAACCUCCCAUUGCUCCUGUAAAUCAUUCGGAGAGAUGAAUUGGAAGAUUUUAGAUAGCAAAAAGUAAUCCCUCCAUCAUGUUCCCAAAGGCCCCACAAAGAACCUUUGUUUGCUACCAACUGUAUCCCUGCUCUUUUCACCUCUCUAGGGAAACAUUUCCGAGCCAGUGGGCACACACGUGCAGGGUUUGCUGUAGAAAAGGAUAAAACGGCCGAACGGCACUCUCAUUAGAGAUCUUACAUUGCCAUCUUUUACUCUGCCAUGCUUGAAGCUAAACAUUGCUGGGGGGCUAGAGCAUUUCCUCCCCCCCAGAAUCUCACACUGCAACACAGAGACCCCUUUCAAAGCCUGAAGAGUCUGUUUGAAUAACUCAUCUGUUCUCAACAGCAGAAGCAAACUGCAAUCAUGAUAGUAAAGAUGGAGAAUGAGCAGAGAGCAUUCAGCCAUGUCCAGACACUAAAUCAGUUGAGUGAUAAAUAAAGAGAACCAAAAGUAUCA
Anas platyrhynchos (mallard) is the source of this 898-nucleotide non-coding RNA. Lineage: Eukaryota; Metazoa; Chordata; Aves; Anseriformes; Anatidae. The record is from RefSeq and is a predicted model, not a curated record.